Non-coding RNA from Dipodomys ordii (Ord's kangaroo rat), 70 nucleotides. The record is from Rfam. NCBI's taxonomy places the organism in Eukaryota, Metazoa, Chordata, Mammalia, Rodentia, Heteromyidae.
GGGAAGGUAGCUCAGUGGUAGAGUGCAUGCCUUGCAAGCAUGAGGCCCUAGGUUCGAUUCCUCAGCACCA